ACUUGAUAGUCCCUGUGACGGUGCUAAGGGACCCGUAAGAGGUGAUCUCGUGAACAGGUUAAUGCUGUCGUCAGGGGAGAGGUCUCCGAUCAUAGUCAGCCCCGCUCUGCUCCGUGGCCCCACCCUUCUCCAGGCAAAGACUUAGGAUUUCCCAGCCUCCAGAGCCGUGGGCCACAUAAACAGUUUAUCCAGCCGCUGCGUUCUGUUGUUAUAGCAACAGAAAACAGACCCCGUCCCGCUCAGCGCAAACCUGAACUUGGCAUUUCCCUGCGUGGCUCUUUCCGGGCUCGUCUGCCCAGCUGGUUACUUAAUGAUGCGUGCGCCUAUUUGCCGAAGGACAGGCCUCACCUAUUUAUUUCUUUGUUGUCUUAAUCGUUAUUUAUGUCUCCUUUACACCAGACGGCUUCCGAGAAAGGCUGGGGCUUGUGAUGCCGAGGAAUCCCGGGAUGUUGCUCAGGUGGGCUGGCCGGUCGUCAUGAAUUCCCACGUUUGCCACGAGCACAGGAAAUGCAGAGUGACACAGUCACCUGAAGAGGCAGCUGCGGCUUCCACGUCCACAUCUGAUCCAGCUGUUUCUUAAAUGGAGAAUUAAAGGCAAAUGGAAGAUAUCAAGACGAAAGCAGAACCAACAACGAACGCCCCUCCCUGAAACUGUCACUCGAUGUAACCCUCCCGGGGCGAGGCCCGCCCGCCCGCCUCUGCUCAAGGGAAACUCAAGUCUGGACCUGUCACCUUCGCACAGGCAGCUCAGCUCUGUGGCCUGCAGGAGGCGUGGAAGAGAUUAUCCAUCUUCAUGGAUGUGAAGUGAUCCAUCAUUGAUCUGCAUUUCCCUAAUAGUUAGGAGUGUUACACACGUUCUCAUGUAUGUAUUGGCCUCUUGUACAUCUUCCUUGGAGAAAUGUUGAUCUGAUCCUUAGCCCACUUAUGAAUUUGGUUAUUACCUUUUGCUAUCAAUUUGUAAGAAUUCUUCAUUCUAAGUACAAGUCCCUUAUCAGGCACAUGAUUUACACACAUUUUUCUCCCAUUCUAUAGAUUAUCUUUCACUUUCUUGAUGUUAUGCUUUGAGGCACAAAAAUUUUAAAUUUUGAUGAAAUGCAAUUAAUUUUUUUCUUUUGUUGUUUGUUCUUUUGGUGUCAUAUUAAAACAGGUUUGUAAAAAUCUCAGGCCACGAAGAUUUCCCUCCAUGGUGUCUUUUAAGAAUUCCACAGCUUUGGGUUUGGGUCGUUCACCCACUUUGAGUUGGUUUUUAUAUAUGGUGUGAGGUAUGGUCAACUUCAUUCUUCUGCAUGUGGAUAUCCAGCUGACCAGCACCAUUUGUUGAAAAGACUGCCUCCCAGGGCUGGCACUGUGGCGCAGUGGGUUAAAACCCCAGCCUGUAACACCAGCAUCCCAUAUGGGCGCCGGUUCGAGUCCCGGCUGCUCCUCUUCUGAUCCAGCUCUCUGCUGUGGCCUGCGAAAGCAAUAGAAGAUGGCCAAAGUCCUUGGGCCCCUCCACCCGUGUGGGAGAUCUGUAAGAAACUCCCGGCUCCUGGCUUCAGAUCGGCACAGCUCUGGCCGUUGCAGCCAUCUGGGGAGUGAACCAGUGGAAUGGAAGACCUCUCUGUCUGGCUCUACCUGUCUCUGUAACUCUGUCUUUCAAAUAAAUAGAAUAAUUAUUAAAAAAAAAAAAAGACUGCCUCCCAGGGAUUAGCCUUGGCACCUUUGUGGGAAACACUUGUCCACAGAUGUAUGGGCUCAGUGCCGUCCCAUUGUGGGGUAGGCUGUGUGCUUGUCUUCAUUAACAUUCCUUUGCAGUAUGUUUUGAAAUCAGGAAGUGUGACUCUUUUUGUUACUCUCUUUUCCAGGAUUGUUUUGCUAUUUUGGGUUCCUCGAUAUUCCACAUGACUUCCCGUGUUGUGGCGUUGUGGGUAAAGCCAGCAUCCCAUUUGCGCCAGUUCGAGUCUCGGCUGCCCCACUUCUGAUCCAACUCCCUGCCAAUGCACCUGGGAAAGCGGGGGAAGAUGGCCUAAGUAUUUGGGCCCCUGCUUCCCACAUGGGAGACCCGGAUGAAACUCCUGGCUUCAGCCCAGCCCUGGCCAUUGCAGCCGAGUGAAUCAGCGGAUGGAGGAACUCUUUCUCUCCCUCUCCCUCUCCCUCUCUCUCUCUCUCUCUCUCUCUGUAAACUCUAAAAACGAAAAGAAAAUUAGCUUCUAAAUUUUCAUUUCUCAAAGACAUCAGGUCAGAUUCUGAUAGGCAUUGCACCGAAUCUGUAGGUCAGUGUUGGGUGCAUUAUAAUCUAUGAAUAUAGGACAUUUUCUGCUUGUUUAGCUAUCUUUAACAAUUCGUCUUUACAACUGUAUUUAAUAAUAUGCAGUGUGUACGUUUGCCAUUUUUUUGUUGUUUAUUUAUAAAUAUUUGAUUCUGUUUAAUGUUGGGAAUGGAAUUAUUUUACUUUUUUAGUAAAGAUUUUUUUAUUUGAAAGACAUUGCCAGACACACACACACACACACACACACACAUGCACACACAGCUCUGUUAACACAGCUGUAGUAACAGGCUCUGAGCUGGAGCAGCCGGGACUUGAACUUGCGUUCUGCUUAACACACUGCACCCCAGGGCCAGCCCUGGUGUCCUCUUCCGGAGCUGCAGGGCUAGUGUUCAGCUGUUUGUAACUUACAGCCAUGUUAGUUGCGAGCUUUUGUACAAGUUCCUUCUGAGAUUGAGUUAACUUUGUUCCUGGUUUGAGUGUUUUUUUUUUGCCUAUCAUAAAAAAGUGCUGGGGGCCAGCGCUGUGAUGCAGUAGGUUAAUCCUCCACCUGCUGCACCAGCAUCCCAUAUGGGCACCGGUUUGAGUCCAGGCUAUUUCUCUUCCAAUCUAGCUCUCUGCUGUGGCUCGGGAAAGCAGUAGAAGAUGUCCCAAGUCCUUGAGCCCCUGCGCCUGUGUGAGAGACCUGGAAGAAGCUCCUGGCUCCUGGCUUCGGAUUGGCGCAGCUCCGGCCAUUGUGGCCAAUUGGGGAGUGAACCAGCGGAUGGAAGACCUCUCUCUCUCUCUCUCCCUCUCACUGUCUAUAACUCUUCCUCUCAAAUAAAUAAAUAAAAUCUAAAAAAAGUGCUGAAUUUUGUUAAUACUUUCCCUACAUGUA
Non-coding RNA from Oryctolagus cuniculus (rabbit), 3122 nucleotides. The record is from RefSeq and is a predicted model, not a curated record. NCBI's taxonomy places the organism in Eukaryota, Metazoa, Chordata, Mammalia, Lagomorpha, Leporidae.